Molecule: long non-coding RNA, 221 nt
Organism: Maylandia zebra (zebra mbuna)
Lineage: Eukaryota; Metazoa; Chordata; Actinopteri; Cichliformes; Cichlidae
Source: RefSeq, a predicted model, not a curated record
GCCUGAGUAUCUGCUAUUCCCAUCGAUAGCACCCGGAGUGGAGAUCUUGUUCCCCUCGCUCCCGUCCUCCUGGACCUGGGCCGCCAGCUGCUUACACAACGUGGCCUGCCGGCCCACCGCUCACCUGCCUGCCUCCCCACGCCUCGACCGCUUCCGGGUUUUCCGCUCCACCUGUCCCCUCCAUCUGAAACCAAUGCCCCCGGCCCCUACCUAGUCCUGUU